AUUGAACGCUGGCGGCAGGCCUAACACAUGCAAGUCGAACGGUAGCACAGAGAGCUUGCUCUCGGGUGACGAGUGGCGGACGGGUGAGUAAUGUCUGGGAAACUGCCCGAUGGAGGGGGAUAACUACUGGAAACGGUAGCUAAUACCGCAUAACGUCGCAAGACCAAAGAGGGGGACCUUCGGGCCUCUUGCCAUCGGAUGUGCCCAGAUGGGAUUAGCUUGUAGGUGAGGUAACGGCUCACCUAGGCGACGAUCCCUAGCUGGUCUGAGAGGAUGACCAGCCACACUGGAACUGAGACACGGUCCAGACUCCUACGGGAGGCAGCAGUGGGGAAUAUUGCACAAUGGGCGCAAGCCUGAUGCAGCCAUGCCGCGUGUAUGAAGAAGGCCUUCGGGUUGUAAAGUACUUUCAGCGGGGAGGAAGGGAGUGAGGUUAAUAACCUUAUUCAUUGACGUUACCCGCAGAAGAAGCACCGGCUAACUCCGUGCCAGCAGCCGCGGUAAUACGGAGGGUGCAAGCGUUAAUCGGAAUUACUGGGCGUAAAGCGCACGCAGGCGGUCUGUCAAGUCGGAUGUGAAAUCCCCGGGCUCAACCUGGGAACUGCAUUCGAAACUGGCAGGCUGGAGUCUUGUAGAGGGGGGUAGAAUUCCAGGUGUAGCGGUGAAAUGCGUAGAGAUCUGGAGGAAUACCGGUGGCGAAGGCGGCCCCCUGGACAAAGACUGACGCUCAGGUGCGAAAGCGUGGGGAGCAAACAGGAUUAGAUACCCUGGUAGUCCACGCUGUAAACGAUGUCGACUUGGAGGUUGUUCCCUUGAGGAGUGGCUUCCGGAGCUAACGCGUUAAGUCGACCGCCUGGGGAGUACGGCCGCAAGGUUAAAACUCAAAUGAAUUGACGGGGGCCUGCACAAGCGGUGGAGCAUGUGGUUUAAUUCGAUGCAACGCGAAGAACCUUACCUACUCUUGACAUCCAGAGAACUUAGCAGAGAUGCUUUGGUGCCUUCGGGAACUCUGAGACAGGUGCUGCAUGGCUGUCGUCAGCUCGUGUUGUGAAAUGUUGGGUUAAGUCCCGCAACGAGCGCAACCCUUAUCCUUUGUUGCCAGCGAUUCGGUCGGGAACUCAAAGGAGACUGCCAGUGAUAAACUGGAGGAAGGUGGGGAUGACGUCAGGUCAUCAUGGCCCUUACGAGUAGGGCUACACACGUGCUACAAUGGCAUAUACAAAGAGAAGCGACCUCGCGAGAGCAAGCGGACCUCAUAAAGUAUGUCGUAGUCCGGAUUGGAGUCUGCAACUCGACUCCAUGAAGUCGGAAUCGCUAGUAAUCGUGGAUCAGAAUGCCACGGUGAAUACGUUCCCGGGCCU
RNAcentral lists this ribosomal RNA (1361 nucleotides) under uncultured bacterium. RNAcentral's name for it is "bacterial SSU rRNA". It matches the Rfam family "Bacterial small subunit ribosomal RNA", at positions 28 to 1381 of the family's 1533-position model. The record is from RNAcentral.